UCGUAUCAAUACCGAUACUGAGUAUGGUAUCGGCUCUGCACACAGUCACAAGCUUGAAAAGUUUACUUGUUUAUUCCCUCUUGUUCAGCACAUGCACGUGCAGUGUUACUGUGGCAAGUCCUCUAAAGGACUCGGUCUGCAGGCAGUUUUAUUUUGGAAGGAAAAAAGGGGGCUUUGGUGUCAUGUUCCUGCAGGGGCUCGCUCUGGGAGCAGAGGAGAGGUCUAGGAUUUCUUCCCGUGUCACUUUGUCCUUGUGUGAGUUUUUAUCCUUUUUUUUUUUUUCCCCUCUCACUCUGUCUCUUCUUCUUCUUUCCUUAUCUUGUGUUUGUCCCAGUCUCACCCACCCAACAGGAAUGACAGUCACUGCUCGCUGUUGUGUGGACUGCAUGGUGAAUGAGUUUCUCUCUUGAAGUUUCCAUUUUUUGGCGUUUAUGAAGAGACCACUAGGGGGAGAGGUAGAGCUGACACAGCUGUAAAGUGGAGGGUGGAAAUGGGAGCAUGGGACAGAGCGGAUGGAGUAUAGACAAUUCAAUAGAGACUGAGAAAAACGACACGCAUACAGAUUAUUUGUACUUUUUAUCAUCAAUACUUAUUUUAUAAUUACUUGGAUUUUUAUUUGAUGUCCUACAUUUUACUCACUGUCCUCUGUUUUUAUGUUUGCACCCAAUACAAUGACAAUUAAAUUCAAUUUUGAUACAGAAAAAGACGUUUUUUGCACAACUGUAUGUCGGAGGUUAAGAACAGUGUAGUGACGAAAAACAUGAGCGUGUUUGUUUUUGUGUUGCAGAGACAGAGAGUAACCUGUGUUCCCCUCACACUCAUCUGCGGCUUCUCGCUCAGCACUGUGUUUUCAUUCAUGGGCCAUGGAGAGAGCAGUGACCUGAGGGAGAGCCGUCAGCAGACACCAGUUGAUGUUGUGGGUCGACAACAAAAGGUGCCGUUUGAUAGCGUUUCUAUCAUGAGCAAAUAAUCAGCUGCACGUCACAUUACUAUACACUUGUGCGCCGUUAGAUGAGGCGAGCAGCGUUCAUUCCCACCGGAGUUCUGCAUGGGAAUCAAUUACCGCUCUCCCGAGGCAGUGGAUUGGCUGGCAACGAGUGACAAGGUGCCAGACAAGACACACGGUCAGGCUGUCAUCAUUUGAUUCACACAUAAUCAGUCCCUAAUUGUAUCACAUUGGGCUGCAGGUACAUGUAAUUUCGAAGGGAACGCGAAUUCACUGGGGUUUUUCCUGGGCAAAACUGGCAGCGUGUCCCUGUGGUAAUGAUGGAGAGGCGAGUGCUUUAAUGUGCUUGCUUGGCCCCUGGUUGUCCUGAGCUGCAAGGCGCUCACAGUCAUGGAGGCUGCAGAGCCAGACUUUAGUGCUUUGACAGUUUGAUGGACAGCUGACAUGACUGGCUCUGGAGUUGCCAGUCAAUCCAACACUGAGAGUCGCCCCAGUGCAGCCUGUCUACCAAUA
Solea solea (common sole) is the source of this 1459-nucleotide long non-coding RNA. RefSeq lists it as uncharacterized. The transcript has 3 exons. The record is from RefSeq and is a predicted model, not a curated record. Lineage: Eukaryota; Metazoa; Chordata; Actinopteri; Pleuronectiformes; Soleidae.